Molecule: ribosomal RNA, 2926 nt
Filed under: Escherichia coli ATCC 8739
Lineage: Bacteria; Pseudomonadati; Pseudomonadota; Gammaproteobacteria; Enterobacterales; Enterobacteriaceae
Description: bacterial LSU rRNA
Rfam family: Bacterial large subunit ribosomal RNA
Source: RNAcentral
GGGUUGUGAGGUUAAGCGACUAAGCGUACACGGUGGAUGCCCUGGCAGUCAGAGGCGAUGAAGGACGUGCUAAUCUGCGAUAAGCGUCGGUAAGGUGAUAUGAACCGUUAUAACCGGCGAUUUCCGAAUGGGGAAACCCAGUGUGUUUCGACACACUAUCAUUAACUGAAUCCAUAGGUUAAUGAGGCGAACCGGGGGAACUGAAACAUCUAAGUACCCCGAGGAAAAGAAAUCAACCGAGAUUCCCCCAGUAGCGGCGAGCGAACGGGGAGCAGCCCAGAGCCUGAAUCAGUGUGUGUGUUAGUGGAAGCGUCUGGAAAGGCGCGCGAUACAGGGUGACAGCCCCGUACACAAAAAUGCACAUGCUGUGAGCUCGAUGAGUAGGGCGGGACACGUGGUAUCCUGUCUGAAUAUGGGGGGACCAUCCUCCAAGGCUAAAUACUCCUGACUGACCGAUAGUGAACCAGUACCGUGAGGGAAAGGCGAAAAGAACCCCGGCGAGGGGAGUGAAAAAGAACCUGAAACCGUGUACGUACAAGCAGUGGGAGCCUCUUUAUGGGGUGACUGCGUACCUUUUGUAUAAUGGGUCAGCGACUUAUAUUCUGUAGCAAGGUUAACCGAAUAGGGGAGCCGAAGGGAAACCGAGUCUUAACUGGGCGUUAAGUUGCAGGGUAUAGACCCGAAACCCGGUGAUCUAGCCAUGGGCAGGUUGAAGGUUGGGUAACACUAACUGGAGGACCGAACCGACUAAUGUUGAAAAAUUAGCGGAUGACUUGUGGCUGGGGGUGAAAGGCCAAUCAAACCGGGAGAUAGCUGGUUCUCCCCGAAAGCUAUUUAGGUAGCGCCUCGUGAAUUCAUCUCCGGGGGUAGAGCACUGUUUCGGCAAGGGGGUCAUCCCGACUUACCAACCCGAUGCAAACUGCGAAUACCGGAGAAUGUUAUCACGGGAGACACACGGCGGGUGCUAACGUCCGUCGUGAAGAGGGAAACAACCCAGACCGCCAGCUAAGGUCCCAAAGUCAUGGUUAAGUGGGAAACGAUGUGGGAAGGCCCAGACAGCCAGGAUGUUGGCUUAGAAGCAGCCAUCAUUUAAAGAAAGCGUAAUAGCUCACUGGUCGAGUCGGCCUGCGCGGAAGAUGUAACGGGGCUAAACCAUGCACCGAAGCUGCGGCAGCGACGCUUAUGCGUUGUUGGGUAGGGGAGCGUUCUGUAAGCCUGUGAAGGUGUGCUGUGAGGCAUGCUGGAGGUAUCAGAAGUGCGAAUGCUGACAUAAGUAACGAUAAAGCGGGUGAAAAGCCCGCUCGCCGGAAGACCAAGGGUUCCUGUCCAACGUUAAUCGGGGCAGGGUGAGUCGACCCCUAAGGCGAGGCCGAAAGGCGUAGUCGAUGGGAAACAGGUUAAUAUUCCUGUACUUGGUGUUACUGCGAAGGGGGGACGGAGAAGGCUAUGUUGGCCGGGCGACGGUUGUCCCGGUUUAAGCGUGUAGGCUGGUUUUCCAGGCAAAUCCGGAAAAUCAAGGCUGAGGCGUGAUGACGAGGCACUACGGUGCUGAAGCAACAAAUGCCCUGCUUCCAGGAAAAGCCUCUAAGCAUCAGGUAACAUCAAAUCGUACCCCAAACCGACACAGGUGGUCAGGUAGAGAAUACCAAGGCGCUUGAGAGAACUCGGGUGAAGGAACUAGGCAAAAUGGUGCCGUAACUUCGGGAGAAGGCACGCUGAUAUGUAGGUGAAGUCCCUCGCGGAUGGAGCUGAAAUCAGUCGAAGAUACCAGCUGGCUGCAACUGUUUAUUAAAAACACAGCACUGUGCAAACACGAAAGUGGACGUAUACGGUGUGACGCCUGCCCGGUGCCGGAAGGUUAAUUGAUGGGGUUAGCGGUAACGCGAAGCUCUUGAUCGAAGCCCCGGUAAACGGCGGCCGUAACUAUAACGGUCCUAAGGUAGCGAAAUUCCUUGUCGGGUAAGUUCCGACCUGCACGAAUGGCGUAAUGAUGGCCAGGCUGUCUCCACCCGAGACUCAGUGAAAUUGAACUCGCUGUGAAGAUGCAGUGUACCCGCGGCAAGACGGAAAGACCCCGUGAACCUUUACUAUAGCUUGACACUGAACAUUGAGCCUUGAUGUGUAGGAUAGGUGGGAGGCUUGGAAGUGUGGACGCCAGUCUGCAUGGAGCCGACCUUGAAAUACCACCCUUUAAUGUUUGAUGUUCUAACGUUGACCCGUAAUCCGGGUUGCGGACAGUGUCUGGUGGGUAGUUUGACUGGGGCGGUCUCCUCCUAAAGAGUAACGGAGGAGCACGAAGGUUGGCUAAUCCUGGUCGGACAUCAGGAGGUUAGUGCAAUGGCAUAAGCCAGCUUGACUGCGAGCGUGACGGCGCGAGCAGGUGCGAAAGCAGGUCAUAGUGAUCCGGUGGUUCUGAAUGGAAGGGCCAUCGCUCAACGGAUAAAAGGUACUCCGGGGAUAACAGGCUGAUACCGCCCAAGAGUUCAUAUCGACGGCGGUGUUUGGCACCUCGAUGUCGGCUCAUCACAUCCUGGGGCUGAAGUAGGUCCCAAGGGUAUGGCUGUUCGCCAUUUAAAGUGGUACGCGAGCUGGGUUUAGAACGUCGUGAGACAGUUCGGUCCCUAUCUGCCGUGGGCGCUGGAGAACUGAGGGGGGCUGCUCCUAGUACGAGAGGACCGGAGUGGACGCAUCACUGGUGUUCGGGUUGUCAUGCCAAUGGCACUGCCCGGUAGCUAAAUGCGGAAGAGAUAAGUGCUGAAAGCAUCUAAGCACGAAACUUGCCCCGAGAUGAGUUCUCCCUGACUCCUUGAGAGUCCUGAAGGAACGUUGAAGACGACGACGUUGAUAGGCCGGGUGUGUAAGCGCAGCGAUGCGUUGAGCUAACCGGUACUAAUGAACCGUGAGGCUUAACCUUACAACGCCGAAG